GUAGUCAUAUGCUUGUCUCAAAGAUUAAGCCAUGCAUGUCUAAGUAUAAGCAAUUUGUACGGUGAAACUGCGAAUGGCUCAUUAAAUCAGUUAUCGUUUAUUUGAUAGUACCUUACUACAUGGAUACCUGUGGUAAUUCUAGAGCUAAUACAUGCUUAAAACUCCGACUUCGGAAGGAGUGUAUUUAUUAGAUAAAAAACCAAUGCCCUUCGGGGCUCCUUGGUGAAUCAUAAUAACUUAACGAAUCGCAUGGCCUUGCGCCGGCGAUGGUCCAUUCAAAUUUCUGCCCUAUCAACUUUCGAUGGUAGGAUAGUGGCCUACCAUGGUGGCAACGGGUAACGGGGAAU
Molecule: ribosomal RNA, 347 nt
Filed under: uncultured fungus
Lineage: Eukaryota; Fungi
Description: SSU rRNA
Rfam family: Eukaryotic small subunit ribosomal RNA
Source: RNAcentral